RNAcentral lists this ribosomal RNA (1106 nucleotides) under Xylariaceae sp. 7S-Aj2-1-1. Its description in RNAcentral is "eukaryotic LSU rRNA". The stretch from base 521 to 1106 matches the Rfam family "Eukaryotic large subunit ribosomal RNA", at positions 1 to 596 of the family's 3401-position model. The record is from RNAcentral. Lineage: Eukaryota; Fungi; Ascomycota; Sordariomycetes; Xylariales; Xylariaceae.
AGGGANCAUUACAGAGUUAAACUAAACUCCAAACCCUAUGUGAACCUNACCUCCAGUUGCCUCGGCGCUCGCUGCGGCUACCCUGUAGCCCGCCCUGUAAAACGGGCGGCUACCCUGUAGCCGGCUCACGGCCCGCCGGAGGACCCCUAAACUCUGUUUAAAAUAGUGUAUUUCUGAAUGCUCCAAACAAAAAUAAGUUAAAACUUUCAACAACGGAUCUCUUGGUUCUGGCAUCGAUGAAGAACGCAGCGAAAUGCGAUAAGUAAUGUGAAUUGCAGAAUUCAGUGAAUCAUCGAAUCUUUGAACGCACAUUGCGCCCAUUAGUAUUCUAGUGGGCAUGCCUAUUCGAGCGUCAUUUCGACCAUUAAGCCCUGUAGCUUAGCGUUGGGAGCCUACGGUUAUAGCGUAGCUCCUCAAAGUCAGUGGCGGAGUUAUGGCGUACUCUGAGCGUAGUAAAUCUUUUCUCGCUUCUGCAGUCGCCCUAGCUGCCUGCCGUAAAACCCCCUAUAUUUCUAGUGGUUGACCUCGGAUUAGGUAGGAAUACCCGCUGAACUUAAGCAUAUCAAUAAGCGGAGGAAAAGAAACCAACAGGGAUUGCCCUAGUAACGGCGAGUGAAGCGGCAACAGCUCAAAUUUGAAAUCUGGCCCUAGCGGUCCGAGUUGUAAUUUGCAGAGGAUGCUUUUGGUGCGGUGCCUUCCGAGUUCCCUGGAACGGGACGCCGGAGAGGGUGAGAGCCCCGUACGGUUGGACACCUACCCUAUACAUAGCUCCUUCGACGAGUCGAGUAGUUUGGGAAUGCUGCUCUAAAUGGGAGGUAAAUUUCUUCUAAAGCUAAAUACCGGCCAGAGACCGAUAGCGCACAAGUAGAGUGAUCGAAAGAUGAAAAGCACUUUGAAAAGAGGGUUAAAUAGCACGUGAAAUUGUUGAAAGGGAAGCGUUUGCGACCAGACCUUUUCCAGGCGGAUCAUCCGGCGUUCUCGCCGGUGCACUCCGCCUGGUCUAGGCCAGCAUCGGUUUCCUUAGGGGGAUAAAGGCCUGGGGAACGUAGCUCNNCAGGGAGUGUUAUAGCCCCUAGCGUAAUACCCUUCAGGGGACCGAGGACCGC